UACGUAGGGACCGAGCGUUGUCCGGAAUCAUUGGGCGUAAAGAGCGUGUAGGCGGCCACUUAAGUCCUGCGUGAAAUCUUGCGGCUCAACCGCAAGCGGUCGUGGGAAACUGGGUGGCUAGAGUGCGGGAGAGGAGAGUGGAAUUCCUGGUGUAGCGGUGGAAUGCGCAGAUAUCAGGAGGAACACCGGUGGCGAAGGCGGUUCUCUGGGCAUUACCUGACGCUGAGGAGCGAAAGUGUGGGGAGCGAACAGG
RNAcentral lists this ribosomal RNA (253 nucleotides) under uncultured bacterium. RNAcentral's name for it is "partial 16S ribosomal RNA". It matches the Rfam family "Bacterial small subunit ribosomal RNA", at positions 524 to 776 of the family's 1533-position model. The record is from RNAcentral.